This 370-nucleotide non-coding RNA is filed under the name Drosophila virilis. Its description in RNAcentral is "Eukaryotic large subunit ribosomal RNA". It matches the Rfam family "Eukaryotic large subunit ribosomal RNA", at positions 1 to 354 of the family's 3401-position model. The record is from Rfam by way of RNAcentral. Lineage: Eukaryota; Metazoa; Arthropoda; Insecta; Diptera; Drosophilidae.
CAACCUCAACUCAUAUGGGACUACCCCCUGAAUUUAAGCAUAUUAAUUAGGGGAGGAAAAGAAACUAACAAGGAUUUUCUUAGUAGCGGCGAGCGAAAAGAAAUCAGUUCAGCACUAAGUCACUUUGUCUAUAUGGCAAAUGUGAGAUGCAGUGUACGGAACAUCAACAUUCUAGUAUGAGAAGUUAACGAUUUAAGUCCUUCUUAAAUGAGGCCAUUUACCCAUAGAGGGUGCCAGGCCCGUAUAACGUUAAUGAUUACUAGAUGGUGUUUCCAAAGAGUCGUGUUGCUUGAUAGUGCAGCACUAAGUGGGUGGUAAACUCCAUCUAAAACUAAAUAUAACCAUGAGACCGAUAGUAAACAAGUACCGU